Molecule: long non-coding RNA, 3741 nt
Filed under: Sparus aurata (gilthead seabream)
Lineage: Eukaryota; Metazoa; Chordata; Actinopteri; Spariformes; Sparidae
Description: lncRNA (ENSSAUG00010003374.1)
Source: RNAcentral
AAACGUCAUCUGAUCGGCCUGAUGUGAUCUAUUUUGAGAACUCCGAUCAAAACUGAUAGGGACAUUAUCGGCCGAUUGCGAUCGGUUGCCGAUCGAUCGGUGCAUCUCUAGUUUCCACUGCUAGAUGCUGUGCUCGUUCAGUCGAUUAUGUUUUAACGUUUAGAGGACGUGCUGUAAUGAAAUAAAACAUAAUCCGGUGGUGGUGAUGAAAACUACACUGAAUGGCAGCCGCCAUUUUGUUAUGCCCAAACGGCGUCUGUGCAUACAUCACGCUUCCAACGAGAUCCCGCUUUUCUCUCGAGUAAGCAGGAAAAGGAGAAGUAACAAUGCCACCAAAUGAAAAGAUAAAACCUGUUGCAGGUCAGCAGACUAUCUGAAUUUUAGUAAUUUAUUUUGGUGCCAUUUAUGCUGCUACAACAAUGCUGUUUGAUUUGACUGUCAUGUGUCAUGACACUGUGACAGUUGUUUUACAAUAAACUUUUCAGAUUUGGAAUUUAAUUUGUUUAAUUUCAGAUACAUUUUGAACAUACAUGAAUAUAUCCGUUUAUUAUAACCGUAUCAUACCACCAUCAAAGGAGUUUAACACUCAAUACAAUUUAAGAAAUAGAAUAAUAUAAGAAAGAAAUACAUUUUUUUAACUGGGGAGUCGGGACCCAUUGAAUUUCCCAGGGACCCAGUCCACUCACCACCUGUGGGUCCCGGGGACUCACUACAUUGAAAACCUAUCAACAUCACUGGUAAUGGAUCAAUGUGUGGUGGAGCUGAGGUUUGAUUUCCAGCUGAUUUGAAGGGACAGGUCUACAUUUCCCCACAGAACAGAUGAGGCUGUGACAAUGUGCACAAUCACAAUGACUUUAUUUGUUCCGCAAAUGAGGAAAUGUCACAGCGGCCAAAGGACAGUAAUAUUACAAUAACAGUAAAAAUGAAACAAUAUGAUAAAAAGGCAGGACAGAGAAUACACUCGUAUAUACAUCAUAGUGUGUGUGUGUGUGUGUGUGUGUGUGUGUGUGUGUGUGUGUGUGUGUGUGUGUGUGUGUGUGUGUGUGUGUGUGUGUGUGUGUGUGUGUGUGUGUGUGUGUGUGUGUGUGUGUGUGUGUGUGUGUGUGUGUGUGUGUGUGUGUGUGUGUGUGUGUGUGUGUGUGUGUGUGUGUGUGUGUGUGUGUGUGUGUGUGUGUGUGUGUGUGUGUGUGUGUGUGUGUGUGUGUGUGUGUGUGUGUGUUCACAAAGAUAAGUCUUUAAAGGAGAAGCAGGAGAAAGUCGGUCCAGUGGAGGUGCAGAACAGAGGAGACCUGCUGGGUGAACUUGCUGCUCUGCCAGUGCAGAGCUGCGCCUGGAGAACCAGCAGCUGCAUCAGGAGGUCAGAGGUUCUCUAGAUUCUUCUUCUGUGGUGUUUUGGUGUCUCAGUGGAGCUUUUGACUGGACUGUAGAAGACCAGGUCUUUAAACUCAGUCCAGAGUGAUUUGUGUGUGUUCAGUAAAAUCUCUUUCCUGCUGAGCUUUACAUUGUUCAUGAUCUGUGGUUUAAAUAAAGAUUGAUUGGAUCCGUUUUAGGUCCACAGUAUGCAGCAGCAGAUGAUGAGGAAGACGGGGGGGAGGAGGAGGAAGAGGAGGAGGAACACCUCAAAACUCCCUUUGUGUUUCCCUUCAAGUGUCCAGGAGCCCAGGAGGCCGUUCUCCUCGAGGCAAAUAAGAAUCCUGUCAGAGGAGUAUGACAGAACGUUAUACGUUACAGCUAGCCGCUGCACAGAGCUCGCAGCAGAGAGCAAGCUGACGGCCAAGCAGGUACACUGGCCUUCACCCUCACGUAUAAUCUGAUCAAACUCCCUUUGUGUUUCCCUUCAGCUGUGCGGGAGCCCAGAAGGCCGUUCUCCUCCGCGCAAGUUAAAAUACUCACAGAGGAGUAUAAUAGGACUCUAUAUAUAACCCCGGAACGCUGCACAGAGCUCGCAGCAGAGAGCGACCUGACUGUGAAGCAGGUACACCGGCCUUCACCCUCACAUAUAACCUGAUCUGUCCCUCCAGAUUAACUCCUUUUAUUCAUGAAUCAAAUGUCUCAAAUGUCUCAUCUAUGGAAAAAAGGUUUCUGAUUUUAAAGAUUCAAAGAAGAAACAAAAAAAAAGACAACAAAUCUGAUCCCCAAAAGUCAGAAUUGUACUUGAGUAACUGUACUUUGCUACAUUCUUGACUAAGAGGUGGAAAUGUUCCUUCAUGGUUUCCUCCAUGUAUGCUGAUGACAUUGUCUAAAUCUAUAAUUCCAUAUCAAACAUGUUUGAAAUGGCUCAAUAACUUAAUAGAUUUGUUUUGAUGUCAUCAAAGCCCAGGAUGAUGUCAUCAAAAGUCUUGUGUCCAGAACCCAUUAUACCCAAAUAUUAACCGUUCUCUCAGCAUUGACAUGAAUUCUAAUGUGUCAUUUCCUUUGUGUCUCUUCUAAACAGGUCGCACAGUGGUUCAGGAAUAGAAGGAGAAAUAAAAAUGAGUGGGUCACAGUGGUUCCAGAACCAGUGGAUGAGGUGGGAGAAGCAACAACGACUUGGCUUCAGAAGCUAAAUAAUAAAAUGGAUUCUAAUAAAUGUGGCUCAAAGUGCCUUUCAUCUCAUUUUUCAUAGACUUUUUCUCUGUUUACAGAUUUCUAUAAGAAAUGUGCUGCAAAACAGGGAGAAGUCUCAUUUUUUCCACCUGCAACAAGCCACUCCCACUUUUGUUGUGAUGCUAGCUGUCAUGUUCUGUGUGUUGGAUCGUUAGCCCUCGUGUGUCUCUUCAGUGUUUCUGUUCUUCCUCCAUGUUUCCCUUCCUUGUUGCAUGUUUGUCUCCCUCUGUCUGUAUCAUCUUAGCCUGUUUGUUAGCCAGUCUCCCCUCACCUGUCCUCUUCCCUCCUCACCCACCUCACCUGUCCUCUUCCCUCCCCUCUCACCUCACCUGUUCAUCUAGUCAUCAGUGUGCCUGUGUAUUCAAGUCUCUGUCCAUUUGACCGAGACGUGUUUCAGCGGACGUUUCCGGCGGCUGUCGUCAUGUCGUGUUUUUGGAUCUUGUUGUUUUCUUAUUUUUGCAUUUUGAGUUGAACCUUGCCUCUUAUUGUAUCAGGCUUCUUUGGUUUCUCGUACUUCCACACACUUCUCUUGUGGUUCCAGAGAUGCAUCAUUCAUCUCAGGUCAUUUAUUUGAGCCAUUUAAAGCAGGUGUGUGUUGAGCUCAUCGACUCAAACUCCCAGAGAAACACCUCCAACUCUGCAGUUCUAUGAAGCAGAACCGUGACAGGUUGUUGUGCCCGCCCCCUCCCGUCAGACCCCACCCCCUCACACCAGACCCCGCCCCCUCACACCAGACCCCGCCCCCUCACGUCAGACCCCGCCCCCUCCCGUCAGACCCCGCCUCUCCACUGACAUCGUGAAAAACUAAACAAAGACAUUGUCACUGAAAUAUAAUAUAUCAAAAGUCAUUAAAUAACUUUUAAUGUCGGUGUUUUAUUUCCACUGUCAUUUGUUUCAGUGCCAAUACAACUUUUCCACAUCCAAACGUUUCAGUGUUUCCUUUGUUGGUUCAGGUUGUGUUUCUGUCUAAAUGAACUGUCAGUGUUCUGACUCCGUACACUUCCCCCUUCACUUUGAUUCUGUGACCCACAGUUUUAAUGUUCUGGUUCACUCUCUCUGCUCUCGUCCACGUUGUUGUACGCAGAUUUUAAAAAGUCAGUCGGUAAAAGAGGCUCUAAAAUCACACUGACACAUUUAGCGUCUAGCUGGUGAACA